Molecule: ribosomal RNA, 497 nt
Filed under: uncultured bacterium
Lineage: Bacteria
Description: partial 16S ribosomal RNA
Rfam family: Bacterial small subunit ribosomal RNA
Source: RNAcentral
GACGAACGCUGGCGGCGUGCCUAAUACAUGCAAGUAGAACGCUGAAGCGAGGAGCUUGCUCUUCUUGGAUGAGUUGCGAACGGGUGAGUAACGCGUAGGUAACCUGCCUUGUAGCGGGGGAUAACUAUUGGAAACGAUAGCUAAUACCGCAUAACAAUGGAUGACACAUGUCAUUUAUUUGAAAGGGGCAAUUGCUCCACUACAAGAUGGACCUGCGUUGUAUUAGCUAGUAGGUGAGGUAAUGGCUCACCUAGGCGACGAUACAUAGCCGACCUGAGAGGGUGAUCGGCCAAACUGGGACUGAGACCAGGCCCAGACUCCUACGGGAGGCAGCAGUAGGGAAUCUUCGGCAAUGGGGGCAACCCUGACCGAGCAACGCCGCGUGAGUGAAGAAGGGUUUCGGAUCGUAAAGCUCGGUUGUAAGUCAAGAACGGGUGUGAGAGUGGAAAGUUCACACUGUGACGGUAGCUGACCAGAAAGGGACGGCUAACUACGUG